AUUUUGCUCACCAAAUAUUAGCCGGUAAUCCUCUUGUAAACAAGACAAAAUCUACCGGUCAAAUCCCAGACAUACCAUUCCAACUAUAAGCCCCCAUUGCACUGGCUCUAGCCUCUAGUGAGCUGCAAGUUUUGGCCAGCAACACCUGAAAGACGCGUGUACUUCCCUCUCAAAAACUGCAAAAACUGGGUGCUUAAAGAAAAAUGAUUUCUCGUUGAGCAGCAAUCCAUUCGGCGAAAAGGUCUCGAACGACGGAGAUCGUGUCCAGUUUUCGAGGACAAAUAUGUUUCGGAAGCUCACACGACGAUCGCAUCAGUUUAAUGUUGGGAGGGAGACCGAUUGAAAGUAAUCAACAAAAUCUUGUUCCACAGAUGAUCAAGUCUACACAGUGAAGAAUUAUAUCAUGUUCUGCUAUGAUGCGAUUGAUCAAUCAAACAGGUGGCUAGCUGCUACUCCGUUGGAUCAUUAACCCUCUGGUGAUCAUUUUGGAUGAAAGCAGAAGACAUGAGCACAGCAGACUCCCAGCCAAAUGUUGAUGGCGCCGUAGUACUAGCACC
This is a long non-coding RNA of Pyrus x bretschneideri (Chinese white pear), 557 nucleotides long. RefSeq lists it as uncharacterized. The transcript is spliced from 4 exons. The record is from RefSeq and is a predicted model, not a curated record. Lineage: Eukaryota; Viridiplantae; Streptophyta; Magnoliopsida; Rosales; Rosaceae.